GACGAACGCUGGCGGCGUGCUUAACACAUGCAAGUCGAACGGAAAGGCCAUGCUUUUGUGGGGUGCUCGAGUGGCGAACGGGUGAGUAACACGUGAGUAACCUGCCCUUGACUUUGGGUUAACUUCAGGAAACUGGGGCUAAUACCGGUUAGGAGCUCCUGCUGCAUGUUGGUGGCUGGAAAGUUUCGGCGGUUGGGGAUGGACUCGCGGCGUAUCAGCUUGUUGGUGGGGUAGUGGCCUACCACGGCUUUGACGGGUAGCCGGGCUGAGCGGGUGACCGGCCACAUUGGGACUGAGAUACGGCCCAGACUCCUACGGGAGGCAGCAGUGGAGAAUAUUGCACAGUGGGCGGAAGCCUGAUGCAGCAACGCAGCGUGCGGGAUGACGGCCUUCGGGUUGUAAACCGAUUUCGCCUGUGACGAAGCGUGAGUGACGGUAAUGGGUAAAGAAGCACCGGCUAACUACGUG
RNAcentral lists this ribosomal RNA (468 nucleotides) under uncultured bacterium. RNAcentral's name for it is "partial 16S ribosomal RNA". It matches the Rfam family "Bacterial small subunit ribosomal RNA", at positions 28 to 507 of the family's 1533-position model. The record is from RNAcentral.